Molecule: long non-coding RNA, 506 nt
Filed under: Citrus sinensis (sweet orange)
Lineage: Eukaryota; Viridiplantae; Streptophyta; Magnoliopsida; Sapindales; Rutaceae
Description: long non-coding RNA (CSIN_LNC005723)
Source: RNAcentral
UUGAUGUAAAUUCUAGUAGAGGGAUAAAAAAGGAUGAGUUGCGCUUUGCACUUGUGAAUCUUAAUUCUUCGCUUAAUAUUGAUGAACCGUUUGUGCUUGCAACCCAAUCAGUACAAGUAUUUCAUGUGGCAGACCCUGUUGAAAAGGAUUGGCAUGUUGCAGUGAUAACAAAACCUAGAGAUUUGUUUAAUAUGGAAGAGAAUGAGGUUGGAGAUGAUGGAGAAUUACUUGUAGCUAAUGAAUCAUAUAGUGGUCGAAGAUUAGAGGAACUUCUCGAAAACUUUGACAAUACUGCUUUGGUUAGAGAUAAUGUGCCUGGGACUGUGAUCAAUACUCCUUUAGAUGUAGCAAAAGAAAAAUCAAAUGCUUCUAGUGAUGAUUUUGAUAGUGAUGAUGAUAGUAUUUACUAAUAGUGAUUUUGAUUAAUAAGCUAAGAGUUGAAUUACAUUUCAGAUUUUUUUCUUUCUUUUUGUUGACACAAGUUUUGUUGUUUAAUAACUUGUUUU